AACGAACGCUGGCGGCGUGCCUAAUACAUGCAAGUCGAGCGAGAAGGUGUAGCAAUACACUUGUAAAGCGGCGAACGGGUGAGGAAUGCAUGGGUAACCUACCCUCGAGUGGGGAAUAACUAGCCGAAAGGUUAGCUAAUACCGCAUACGUUUCCGGAACUUCGGUUUCGGAAAGAAAGCAAUACCGUGGGUAUUGCGCUCCUGGAUGGGCUCAUGUCCUAUCAGCUUGUUGGUGAGGUAACGGCUCACCAAGGCUUCGACGGGUAGCUGGUCUGAGAGGACGAUCAGCCACACUGGCACUGCGACACGGGCCAGACUCCUACGGGAGGCAGCAGUAAGGAAUAUUGCGCAAUGGACGAAAGUCUGACGCAGCGACGCCGCGUGGGGGAUGAAGGUCUUCGGAUUGUAAACCCCUUUCGGGAGGGAAGAUGGAGUGGGUAACCACUUGGACGGUACCUCCAGAAGCAGCCACGGCUAACUCGUGCCAGCAGCCGCGGUAA
RNAcentral lists this ribosomal RNA (500 nucleotides) under uncultured bacterium. Its description in RNAcentral is "bacterial SSU rRNA". It matches the Rfam family "Bacterial small subunit ribosomal RNA", at positions 29 to 523 of the family's 1533-position model. The record is from RNAcentral.